Physeter macrocephalus (sperm whale) is the source of this 2785-nucleotide long non-coding RNA. RefSeq lists it as uncharacterized. The transcript is spliced from 5 exons. The record is from RefSeq and is a predicted model, not a curated record. Lineage: Eukaryota; Metazoa; Chordata; Mammalia; Artiodactyla; Physeteridae.
CUAAUGCUGAAGUAUUUAACAAAAUAUUGGAGCUCAGUUUAGCAUGGACUUAUCUUUCAGCCGUGGGCAGAGGGUAUCUCAAACAGGUGGAGGCACAGAGGGUCUCCGGUGUAAACACCAGCACUGGGUCCUGGGUUUCUGUCCAGGGCAGUGAGGUUUUCAGCUGAAUCUCGGUGGCACAUCCCUUUAGCCAGUGCUUUCCAGCCAAACACCACAGAAGCACAGCUGUAACGGAGUAAGUUGGGCUUAUCCCUCACUGCAGCCCAGGAGAAUGUACACCGGGGGAAGUGUUGGGCAUCUCAAUAAAAGGAUGUUAAAAAGGAUUUGUCAUAGGUUUUAGGCUUUGGCUAGGUAAUGGGGGAAGGCUACUCCAAGUGGAAUUUACUGUGGAUUGAAUGCUGUCAGGAAGUGGGGACAAGUCUAUGAUUGGUUGUCUUAAUAAAUCUUUUCUGGAAGGAGAGGAGAGCAAGGUUAAAGGUGUGAUUGGUAAAGAAUCAACAGUCACACGUAUUAACUGGGAGAAGGUGAUAUUUGGUACUUAUGGGGUUUCCACAAUAACUUUGUGCUAUAGACAAAGUUUGCCCCCCCCCCCACCAAAUUUUAAAUCCUCAGUGUGUUGGUAUUAGGAGGUGGGGCCUUUGGGAGGUGAUUAGGUCAUGAAGGUGGAGCCGUCAUGAAUGAGAUUUGUGCCCUUACGAAAGAGACCCCAGAGGGCUCCCUUACCUCUCUGCCAUAUGAGGCUGCAACGAGCAAAUGCCAUCUAGGAACCAGGAAGUGGGUCCUCACCAGACAUCGAAUCUGCUAGUACCUUGAUCUUGGACUUCCCAGACUCCAGAACUGUCCAGAAAGGCCCCAGACAUUCAGAUCAAAUAGGUAAAACAAUGGAUGAUCCAAAUUGUUAAUGACCUCGCACCAUCCGGGUGCCCAUGCACAUAGAAGAAAGAGUCCAGAGCCAAAGAGCCUUGCUCCUCCAAUAAUGAAAUCAGUAGAGACGCAUUUCACAGUCUGGAGCGAUCUCAGGGAGUCCUUCCCAAGAAGACGAGCGAAGAACUGAUGCAUCCCUUGAAGAGGGUUAAAAGGGAGCAAAGCAAAGCUACAGACAUUGAACUAAAUUCAGGCGCAGUUCUUGUUUCUAUGGUGAAAAAUAAACAUUAACAAAGUAAAAGCACUAACAGUGUUUGCUACAGUGAGAAUGGUCACCAGGCGGCUGAGGACUCAAAGCCGGGAGGAAGGACGGUGGAUCUGUCGGUACCCCCUCCCUAGCCGAGGGGCAAGAUGUGUGACCAGUUCCAUCUUUGCCACCUUCCUGUGUAAUGAUGGCGUUCCAGGUGGCCCCACCUGCCUCCAUGCUUAGAGACGCCUUCUUAAUGGUGGUGGCACUUUUUCUCUGAGUCAUUCACACUGUCCCUCUGUCUCCUGCUAUUAAAGCGACUGGCUUUCUGACACGUUGGUCUGAGUUGAGGGCACCAGGCUGAGCAGAAUCGCUGCUGGCACCUGCAACCAAAAAUGGGCAGAAGAUCUAAACAGACGUUUCUCCAGAGAAGACAUACAGAUGGCCAACAGACAGAUGAAAGGAUGCUCAACAUCACUGAUCAUCAGAGAAAUGCAAAUCGAAACUACAAUGAGAUAUCAUCUCACACCGGUCAGAAUGGCCAUCAUCAAAAAAUCUACAAACAAUCGCUCACUCCACCAUCUCGACCUCUUAAAUUCAAGAGAGCUCCCCUAUGACCAUGAAGAACACCCGAGGUUACAUGAGAAACAUUAGCUGGUGCGUAAAGCUGUCAAACUCCCAAGAAGAACUGGCCCAGGGCAGACACUCCACAAGACAAAGAUGGAGGAGCGCACAGGAAAUGAAAGGAAGCAUUUUUCACCUUCCAAUGUGGAAGAAUGCCCAGUAACAGAGCCAGAAAAAGACCCAAGGAGGUCAAUCAAGAUGACUUGACGUUCAAGUCAAGGUAAAUUAGGUGGAGGGGAAAGAAUAAGGAAGAAGAAAACAGAGAUCAAAAACCCAACACCUAUACCCAAAUGUGAUGACUGCGUUUAACCUGGGGGCCACAGAGAAUGCCCCUCCUACCCAUGACUUUGGGAUAAUGAGGAAGGUGGGAGCAACCAGGAAGGAGGGGUUCUGCAGUGCAUUCAGCUAAUUUGGGGGCUGUCUUUUUUUUUCCUCUCCUGAAGCCUAUGCCUUAACUUGCUGAGGCUUGCUGCUUUAGACUCUCCUUUGACCAGCUGGUUUGCACCGGAACAGAGAUCAUAAAAACUGUCAACGUCAGGUGAUUAAGCUCUGUGAUUUUAAAGACUUUCCUCUUCCCAGGUUUUGCCACCUUCAAUUGACAUUUUCACUCUACGAGGCAAGGAUGGGAGAGUGUAGGGGCCAUGUAAGAGCAGCACAGACUCCACUGCGUGGGGCCUGAGCAAGAAUUCUGAGACUGUAUCUUAAACGUUCCCUGGAUUUCUGUGGUCCUUUGCCUCAGAUUCCCAUCCGAUUAGAGAAGGCAUCUGCCCUCCCUGAUGAAUAACUAUUCUAAGGUCCAGAAUUUUUCUUUUGAUAGAAUCUCACUUACAUGCAAGUUUAUACGUUGAUCCUAUUUUCAGGAGGUAAUUUUUACACUUGAAAGGCCCCCUUUCACAUCACGCUGGUGGUUCGAAAGCAGAACCGGAGCCUAAAAGGGAAAGAGAGAGAGACGAAUGUGUCUUCUUCAAAUCCACUUCUUGGGGCCCAAGUCUCCAGAAUAGCAUUGUCAAUCAGGAAGAUAAACACAAGAUCUGUGCUUUUUCCCUUCAA